AUGGCUCUAGCUUUAACUGUCGGGGUUUUCGGUGCUCUCGUUCUAUUUCACGCCGCUUAUUCCACCAUCCAGUAUAAGAACUUGUUGAAGAUCACACAAGAAGAGUUUUCAGCACCUCCUUUCCAUGGAAGUUUUUGUCCAUACACCCACACUCUGAUGAAACAGGAUUGUUUCUUUACCUGCAAACCUAGACUUCAUGAUCUUCAAUCACCGAGGCAAAGUUUUUCCCCUGGAAACAGAUUUGAAGCUGAAACACUAAGGACUCUAGUAUGA
Vicia faba (fava bean) is the source of this 273-nucleotide non-coding RNA. NCBI's taxonomy places the organism in Eukaryota, Viridiplantae, Streptophyta, Magnoliopsida, Fabales, Fabaceae. The record is from the annotation of a GenBank genome assembly.